AGAGGCUUCGGCAAUGGGGGAAACCCUGACCGAGCGACGCCGCGUGCGGGAUGAAGGCCCUCGGGUCGUAAACCGCUGUCAGGCGGGAAGAAUCCUUCCGGGUGAAUACCCCGGAAGUUGACGGUACCUCCAGAGGAAGCUCCGGCUAACUCCGUGCCAGCCGCCGCGGUAAUACGGAGGGAGCGAACGUUGUUCGGAUUAACUGGGCGUAAAGGGCGUGUAGGCGGUCUGGCAAGUCAGGGGUGAAAUGUCCCGGCUCAACCGGGAACCUGCCUUUGAAACUGCCGGGCUUGAGGCCGUGAGAGGAGACUGGAAUUCCUAGUGUAGAGGUGAAAUGCAUAGAUAUUAGGAAGAACACCAGUGGCGAAGGCGAGUCUCUGGCACGGUUCUGACGCUGAGGCGCGAAAGCUAGGGGAGCAAAC
Molecule: ribosomal RNA, 422 nt
Filed under: uncultured bacterium
Lineage: Bacteria
Description: bacterial SSU rRNA
Rfam family: Bacterial small subunit ribosomal RNA
Source: RNAcentral